This 650-nucleotide ribosomal RNA is filed under the name Pseudomonas sp. Its description in RNAcentral is "bacterial SSU rRNA". It matches the Rfam family "Bacterial small subunit ribosomal RNA", at positions 90 to 733 of the family's 1533-position model. The record is from RNAcentral. Lineage: Bacteria; Pseudomonadati; Pseudomonadota; Gammaproteobacteria; Pseudomonadales; Pseudomonadaceae.
UGAGAGCGGCGGACGGGUGAGUAAUGCCUAGGAAUCUGCCUGGUAGUGGGGGAUAACGUUCGGAAACGGACGCUAAUACCGCAUACGUCCUACGGGAGAAAGCAGGGGACCUUCGGGCCUUGCGCUAUCAGAUGAGCCUAGGUCGGAUUAGCUAGUUGGUGAGGUAAUGGCUCACCAAGGCGACGAUCCGUAACUGGUCUGAGAGGAUGAUCAGUCACACUGGAACUGAGACACGGUCCAGACUCCUACGGGAGGCAGCAGUGGGGAAUAUUGGACAAUGGGCGAAAGCCUGAUCCAGCCAUGCCGCGUGUGUGAAGAAGGUCUUCGGAUUGUAAAGCACUUUAAGUUGGGAGGAAGGGUUGUAGAUUAAUACUCUGCAAUUUUGACGUUACCGACAGAAUAAGCACCGGCUAACUCUGUGCCAGCAGCCGCGGUAAUACAGAGGGUGCAAGCGUUAAUCGGAAUUACUGGGCGUAAAGCGCGCGUAGGUGGUUUGUUAAGUUGGAUGUGAAAUCCCCGGGCUCAACCUGGGAACUGCAUUCAAAACUGACUGACUAGAGUAUGGUAGAGGGUGGUGGAAAUUUCCUGUGUAGCGGUGAAAUGCGUAGAUAUAGGAAGGGAACACCAGUGGCGAAGGGCGACCACCUGGA